Molecule: RNA transcript, 2219 nt
Organism: Salvelinus fontinalis (brook trout)
Lineage: Eukaryota; Metazoa; Chordata; Actinopteri; Salmoniformes; Salmonidae
Gene name: palmitoyltransferase ZDHHC18-B-like
Exons: 2
Source: RefSeq, a predicted model, not a curated record
AGGGCCCAGGGCUGGUUGACUCUGUCUCCUCCACCUUGGUGACCUGUAGCAAUCUGAUUGGACAAGCUCGCUCCCUUCAGUCCAUCACCCAGCAACUGUCGGAAAUGUAAGUCUGCACUUUCAAACAUUUGUAAAUAUUUGCUUUUAUAUGUAUGGAAUGUGCUGUAUAGAUAUUCCGCAAUUGAUUAAUUGACAUGUAUGGUCCAGUGAGUUUUAUCUGUAAAAGCUGAGGUUCAAUCCAAUAUGGUAGCGGGCCAUAAUGCAUAAACAUUAUCGUGCAGAAGAUGCACCAUGACGAUGACCUUUACGAGUCCGUGGGUGGCCAGAAACCACUGUCCCCAAGAAGGCGAUUACGCCCAGCUCUUCUGUCACAAUACUCUCCUCAGGACAACGCCAAGAUCCCUGUGCUUUACAUCCCCAAGAGGGCUGAUCGGAAAUCACUGAAGUCAGUUGAUCCGAAGGCCCUGAGAGUAGUCAGGUGGGUACUGCAGACCAUCUAUAGACGCCAUGGGUGGCUGGGUCAGGCUAACGACCACAGCAGACAGGCCAAAGAAAGCUUGCUGCUCUGUGAUGUCAUCCAGGUCCUGCUUGAGAAGCUCUACCACAAGAUGGCCACUGCUGGAGAUCUACAGGUGGCACCUACCCAAACAUAUGCCCUACAUACUGACAACCGCUUCAAGACGAAGUUGCAGGAGGCUACAGUUGAACCCAUCAGCGAUAUCAUCGGACAUCUGUCCAUCAAUCUGCUGAGGUUCGAGUCUUGCUUCGUGCCCAAGAAGAGAUGGUCGUCGUCAACCAUCCUGGCUAAGAGCGUCUCCGAUGACCAACCUGGGGAGCCGAGCUGUGGCUUUGGCUGUGGCCAUGGACAUCAGCUCCAAUGUGGUUGAGAAGCUCAAAGAGGCCUCAGGUAGCAGCAAGACCACUUGCUCGAUGACUAGCCUUCGGGACUUUGUCAGAGCCAUGACCGUCAGCCAUCCAGAGCUCAGCCAGCAGGCCACCUCGGGUGGGUCAAAAAUUAACAACAUCUACAGGGAGGUUCUGGAGAUGGUUGUGACCAAGCUGAGGAGUUUUGUCACCAAAGGGGGAUCAUUUCACAAGCCCACAGAGCACUUAGCGCAGAAGAUGGCGGAGAGCUGCCUCGAGGUAGAAUGUGCUUUCAUGGAGAUUCUGCAGACACUUAAGAGUCACGGAACAGGCGAUGAGGCAUGCAGCGCCUGGGCAGUUGACUGCAUGUCCACGACUAUCUCUGACACCAUGUUUAAACGUGUGACUGAGGGGGGCUAUCCUCCUCAUGUUACUCAUGUCUCUGGGGCAAUGGUCACAAACUGUGGUCCAAUCAGAAUCAGUGAUGUUAACCAGCGCAGCCUAUCAAGAUCAAGGCUAGAAUGUCCAGGUCCUCCGUGAACCUCCUACAAACCACUGUGGAAAAGUUUGUGCAUAAGCUGAAGGGUGAGCGGGUGCCCAUCCCAGAACUAGGAGAAGGAAUGUCUACUUCUACCAGGAGAAGGAAUGUCUACUUCUACCAGGCCCCAGCAAGGAAAGGAUCCUGGUAAGAUCGACAGAGGUAUUUCUCUAUUUUUUUAAAGAAAAUACAUGUAUAUUUUUUCUUGUUUUUUAAUUCUAUUUUUAUUAUAAAAUGCAUAAAUAAACAAAUGAUUCAGCCUUCUUCGCUAUUAAUACUAUGUAAUGUUUCCUAAAUGUAAAUAAAAUAAUUACCUCUUCUCUCACAGACAACCUACGUACACCACAGAGUGUUCAGAGGAGAUUCACUACGGAGCCAACUGAAACGGGAGGAGCUAAUUAGUAUGCUGUGUGCAUUGAUGAGCAAAUCCAUCAUUAGCUCCUUGUCUUUGGAUAGAGCUUUUCAGGUUCCAGUUGACGCAGUCUCAGAUACAAAGGAAAGCAGAGCUUCUGCUGUGAAGUUGGGUACGAAUGCCAGAACGCCCCCUCCUCGCCCCACCCUCACUAUCAGUCAGAGGGAUAAUAAGCCUGUCCAAGAGGACAGCAGGAGGAGAAUCCGACAUCUCCGUACUCUUCAGGCUCCCAAGAGGUAAGUAGCCCAGAGGUUAGAGGCAGACCAGUAGUGCUGGAAAGUCGCUGGUUCAAAUCCAAGGCAGGGCAAUGGGAAAAAAUGUGGGAACUGAAAUUACAACUGAAGGGCUGGUGGUUUCAGAUACAUUUUUGAAUAUCCUUUGCAAGAUGGACUAAUAAAGUUAUAU